This 251-nucleotide ribosomal RNA is filed under the name uncultured bacterium. Its description in RNAcentral is "partial 16S ribosomal RNA". It matches the Rfam family "Bacterial small subunit ribosomal RNA", at positions 524 to 776 of the family's 1533-position model. The record is from RNAcentral.
UACGGGGGGGCAAGCGUUGUUCGGAAUUACUGGGCGUAAAGGGCGCGUAGGCGCCUUCUAAGUCAGACGUGAAAUCCCUCGGCUCAACCGAGGAACUGCGUCUGAUACUGGAAGGCUUGAAUCCGGGAGAGGGAUGUGGAAUUCCAGGUGUAGCGGUGAAAUGCGCAGAUAUCAGGAGGAACACCGGUGGCGAAGGCGGUUCUCUGGGCAUGUCCUGACGCUGAGGAGCGAAAGUGUGGGGAGCGAACAGG